GGGGACGUGGCGGAACGGUAGACGCGGCGGACUCAAACUCCGCUCCGGUUCACCCCGGGUGUGGGUUCGACUCCCACCGUCCCCA
This 85-nucleotide transfer RNA is filed under the name Actinomycetota bacterium. RNAcentral's name for it is "Actinobacteria bacterium (freshwater metagenome) tRNA-Leu". It matches the Rfam family "tRNA". From Rfam's summary of the family: Transfer RNA (tRNA) molecules are approximately 80 nucleotides in length. Their secondary structure includes four short double-helical elements and three loops (D, anti-codon, and T loops). The record is from RNAcentral. Lineage: Bacteria; Bacillati; Actinomycetota.